GACGAACGCUGGCGGCGUGCUUAACACAUGCAAGUCGAACGGAAAGGCCCUGCGUUUGUGGGGUGCUCGAGUGGCGAACGGGUGAGUAACACGUGAGUAACCUGCCCUUGACUUUGGGAGAACUUCAGGAAACUGGGGCUAAUAUCGGAUAGGAGCUCCUGCUGCAUGGGGGGGGUUGGAAAGUGUCGGCGGUUGGGGCUGGACUCGCGGCUUAUGAGCUUGUUGGUGGGGUAGGGGCUUACCAAGGCUUUGACGGGUAGCCGGCCUGGGAGGGUGACCGGCGACCUUGGGCCUGCGGUACGGCCCAGACUCCUACGGGCGGCAGCGGUCGGGAAUCUUGCACAAUGGGCGGGCGCCUGAUGCAGCAGCCCCGCGUUCGGGAUGCAGGCUUUCUGGUUGUGAACCGCUUUCGCCUGUGACGAAGCGUGAGUGACGGUACUGGGUAAAGAAGCACCGGCUAACUACGUG
This 468-nucleotide ribosomal RNA is filed under the name uncultured bacterium. Its description in RNAcentral is "partial 16S ribosomal RNA". It matches the Rfam family "Bacterial small subunit ribosomal RNA", at positions 28 to 507 of the family's 1533-position model. The record is from RNAcentral.